This 465-nucleotide ribosomal RNA is filed under the name uncultured bacterium. Its description in RNAcentral is "partial 16S ribosomal RNA". It matches the Rfam family "Bacterial small subunit ribosomal RNA", at positions 28 to 507 of the family's 1533-position model. The record is from RNAcentral.
GACGAACGCUGGCGGCGUGCUUAACACAUGCAAGUCGAACGGAAAGGCCCUGCUUGCAGGGUACUCGAGUGGCGAACGGGUGAGUAACACGUGGGUGAUCUGCCCUGCACUUCGGGAUAAGCCUGGGAAACUGGGUCUAAUACCGGAUAGGAGCCAUUUUUAGUGUGAUGGUUGGAAAGUUUUUUCGGUGUAGGAUGAGCUCGCGGCCUAUCAGCUUGUUGGUGGGGUAAUGGCCUACCAAGGCGGCGACGGGUAGCCGGCCUGAGAGGGUGGACGGCCACAUUGGGACUGAGAUACGGCACAGACUCCUACGGGAGGCAGCAGUGGGGAAUAUUGCACAAUGGGCGCAAGCCUGAUGCAGCGACGCCGCGUGGGGGGUGACGGCCUUCGGGUUGAAAACUCCUUUCGCUAGGGACGAAGCUUUUUGUGACGGUACCUAGAUAAGAAGCACCGGCUAACUACGUG